UUUGCGUCGAAGGUAUACCGGUAAGGAGUGCUGGAGCGAAUAGAAGUGAGCAUGCAGGCAUGAGUAGCGAUAAUUAAUGUGAGAAUCAUUAACGCCGUAAACCCAAGGUUUCCUACGCGAUGCUCGUCAUCGUAGGGUUAGUCGGGUCCUAAGUCGAGUCCGAAAGGGGUAGACGAUGGCAAAUUGGUUAAUAUUCCAAUACCAACAUUAGUGUGCGAUGGAAGGACGCUUAGGGCUAAGGGGGCUAGCGGAUGGAAGUGCUAGUCUAAGGUCGUAGGAGGUUAUACAGGCAAAUCCGUAUAACAAUACUCCGAGAACUGAAAGGCUUUUUGAAGUCUUCGGAUGGAUAGAAGAACCCCUGAUGCCGUCGAGCCAAGAAAAGUUUCUAAGUUUAGCUAAUGUUGCCCGUACCGUAAACCGACACAGGUGGGUGGGAUGAGUAUUCUAAGGCGCGUGGAAGAACUCUCUUUAAGGAACUCUGCAAAAUAGCACCGUAUCUUCGGUAUAAGGUGUGGUUAGCUUUGUAUUAGGAUUUACUCCGAAAGCAAGGAAACUUACAACAAAGAGUCCCUCCCGACUGUUUACCAAAAACACAGCACUCUGCUAACUCGUAAGAGGAUGUAUAGGGUGUGACGCCUGCCCGGUGCUCGAAGGUUAAUUGAUGGGGUUAGCAUUAGCGAAGCUCUUGAUCGAAGCCCGAGUAAACGGCGGCCGUAACUAUAACGGUCCUAAGGUAGCGAAAUUCCUUGUCGGUUAAAUACCGACCUGCAUGAAUGGCGUAACGAGAUGGGAGCUGUCUCAAAGAGGGAUCCAGUGAAAUUGUAGUGGAGGUGAAAAUUCCUCCUACCCGCGGCAAGACGGAGAGACCCCGUGGACCUUUACUACAGCUUGACACUGCUAUUUGGAUAAGAAUGUGCAGGAUAGGUGGGAGGCUUUGAGUAUAUGACGCCAGUUGUAUAUGAGCCAUUGUUGAGAUACCACUCUUUCUUAUUUGGGUAGCUAACCAGCUUGAGUUAUCCUCAAGUGGGACAAUGUCUGGUGGGUAGUUUGACUGGGGCGGUCGCCUCCCAAAUAAUAACGGAGGCUUACAAAGGUUGGCUCAGAACGGUUGGAAAUCGUUCGUAGAGUAUAAAGGUAUAAGCCAGCUUAACUGCAAGACAUACAAGUCAAGCAGAGACGAAAGUCGGUCUUAGUGAUCCGGUGGUUCUGUGUGGAAGGGCCAUCGCUCAAAGGAUAAAAGGUACCCCGGGGAUAACAGGCUGAUCUCCCCCAAGAGCUCACAUCGACGGGGAGGUUUGGCACCUCGAUGUCGGCUCAUCGCAUCCUGGGGCUGGAGCAGGUCCCAAGGGUAUGGCUGUUCGCCAUUUAAAGCGGUACGCGAGCUGGGUUCAGAACGUCGUGAGACAGUUCGGUCCCUAUCUGCCGUGGGCGUAAGAAGAUUGAAGAGAUUUGACCCUAGUACGAGAGGACCGGGUUGAACAAACCACUGGUGUAGCUGUUGUUCUGCCAAGAGCAUCGCAGCGUAGCUAAGUUUGGAAAGGAUAAACGCUGAAAGCAUCUAAGCGUGAAGCCAACUCUAAGAUGAAUCUUCUCUAAGCUCUCUAGAAGACUACUAGUUUGAUAGGCUGGGUGUGUAAUGGAUGAAAGUCCUUUAGCUGACCAGUACUAAUAGAGCGUUUGGCUUAUCUUUAAUAAAGCAU
RNAcentral lists this ribosomal RNA (1700 nucleotides) under Campylobacter coli. RNAcentral's name for it is "partial 23S ribosomal RNA". It matches the Rfam family "Bacterial large subunit ribosomal RNA", at positions 1244 to 2925 of the family's 2925-position model. RNAcentral also lists the same sequence under 1 other name. Lineage: Bacteria; Pseudomonadati; Campylobacterota; Epsilonproteobacteria; Campylobacterales; Campylobacteraceae. The record is from RNAcentral.